This 742-nucleotide ribosomal RNA is filed under the name Lentilactobacillus parafarraginis. Its description in RNAcentral is "bacterial SSU rRNA". It matches the Rfam family "Bacterial small subunit ribosomal RNA", at positions 54 to 753 of the family's 1533-position model. The record is from RNAcentral. Lineage: Bacteria; Bacillati; Bacillota; Bacilli; Lactobacillales; Lactobacillaceae.
CAUGCAAGUCGAACGCGUCUUGGUUAAUGAUGUUAGGUGCUUGCAUUUAACUGAUUUAACAUUGAGACGAGUGGCGAACUGGUGAGUAACACGUGGGUAACCUGCCCUGAAGUGGGGGAUAACACUUGGAAACAGGUGCUAAUACCGCAUAACAACGAAAACCACAUGGUUUUCGUUUGAAAGAUGGCUUCGGCUGUCACUUUUGGAUGGACCCGCGGCGUAUUAGCUUGUUGGUGAGGUAACGGCUCACCAAGGCCAUGAUACGUAGCCGACCUGAGAGGGUAAUCGGCCACAUUGGGACUGAGACACGGCCCAAACUCCUACGGGAGGCAGCAGUAGGGAAUCUUCCACAAUGGACGAAAGUCUGAUGGAGCAACGCCGCGUGAGUGAUGAAGGGUUUCGGCUCGUAAAACUCUGUUGUUGGAGAAGAACAGGUGAUAGAGUAACUGUUAUCAUCUUGACGGUAUCCAACCAGAAAGCCACGGCUAACUACGUGCCAGCAGCCGCGGUAAUACGUAGGUGGCAAGCGUUGUCCGGAUUUAUUGGGCGUAAAGCGAGCGCAGGCGGUUUUUUAGGUCUGAUGUGAAAGCCUUCGGCUUAACCGGAGAAGGGCAUCGGAAACCGGGAGACUUGAGUGCAGAAGAGGACAGUGGAACUCCAUGUGUAGCGGUGAAAUGCGUAGAUAUAUGGAAGAACACCAGUGGCGAAGGCGGCUGUCUGGUCUGUAACUGACGCUGAGGCU